This 497-nucleotide ribosomal RNA is filed under the name uncultured bacterium. Its description in RNAcentral is "partial 16S ribosomal RNA". It matches the Rfam family "Bacterial small subunit ribosomal RNA", at positions 28 to 507 of the family's 1533-position model. The record is from RNAcentral.
GAUGAACGCUGGCGGCGUGCCUAAUACAUGCAAGUCGAGCGAACAGACGAGGAGCUUGCUCCUCUGACGUUAGCGGCGGACGGGUGAGUAACACGUGGAUAACCUACCUAUAAGACUGGGAUAACUUCGGGAAACCGUAGCUAAUACCGGAUAAUAUAUUGAACCGCAUGGUUCAAUAGUGAAAGACGGUUUUGCUGUCACUUAUAGAUGGAUCCGCGCCGCAUUAGCUAGUUGGUAAGGUAACGGCUUACCAAGGCAACGAUGCGUAGCCGACCUGAGAGGGUGAUCGGCCAAACUGGAACUGAGACACGGUCCAGACUCCUACGGGAGGCAGCAGUAGGGAAUCUUCCGCAAUGGGCGAAAGCCUGACGGGGCAACGCCGCGUGAGUGAUGAAGGUCUUCGGAUCGUAAAACUCUGUUAUUAGGGAAGAACAAAUGUGUAAGUAACUAUGCACGUCUUGACGGUACCUAAUCAGAAAGCCACGGCUAACUACGUG